UGACAUGCUCUCUUGAAUGUUCUGUCCUGC
This 30-nucleotide non-coding RNA is filed under the name Rattus norvegicus (Norway rat). The record is from RNAcentral. Lineage: Eukaryota; Metazoa; Chordata; Mammalia; Rodentia; Muridae.